UUAUUUUUUUUAUUUUUAAGCUGGUUCUAAAGGAGAGGAAUUGAAGAGACGUGUUCUCUGCGCACUGGGCUGUCCUCCUGCCCACGUCGAGGGACUAGAAGUUUGAACAAGCAACCCCUCUUUCUUGACAUCUCAUUUCCAGGCUGCGCCUAACCCUCUGCUCACAUAGCCACUGUUUGCUCUUGGCUUCACGUCAUUAAUGAAAACCUCAGAACACUUCAGAGAGGGUAAUAGUAUACAUUCCUAUUUGAUUCGUGAAAAAACUGAUCCUUUGGUGGGGGACUUCCCCAAAACUUCUCAACUAGAAGUGGAGGUGGGAUUUGAACCCAGAAUUAUGCAACUGCAAAACUAUAGCUGACUGUUGCAGCGGAAGCUACAAUCUCCAGGAGGUUCUUGAGCUGACAAAUAGUUCUUUCACUCCGAGGGCACCUUCUGCUCUGAGCCAGUUACUGUGACCCUCAGGGAGGACUCCGGUGGAAACACUCUCCUUCCUCCAGCCCUCCACACAGGCGCUCUCUCAGCCUACACACUUCCGCACUGGAAAGCACCCCAGAGGAAUAAUGACAGCAAACAGCAAGACUUGGCAGAAGUGCAGAAUGCCAGGAAAAUCAUGGAUUUGUCUCCAGCUCCCCCGUCUUGGCCUCAUCUAGUGGGAAAAUGGGAAAAUUCUCUGCUGGUUUCUCCUCUCGCUCUGGUCCCUCUGCUCUGGUCCACCAAAUAGACACAUCUCCAGAAGAAGGUUAAGUAGGGCCACCCUCUGGACUCCCCGAAACAAGCUGGUGCUUAAAUAUGCAGAUUCAAAAAUAAAAUUUAAAUGGAGUGCCAUGCUGCAGAGAGAUCCAGACCCUGACCUCUCUAAAUGGGGUAGUUUCAGACUCUGGGAGGCGGCUUGAGGUACACGAACAGCACAGGAUUGGAAAACUUACAUCCCCAGUCUGUCACUUCCUAUCUCUGACUUUGAGUGAUUUGCUCAACUUCUCCAAGCAUCAGUUUCUUGCAUUAUAUAAUGAGGGAAAUUAUCCUCUUGCCUACAAGCUGAUACAGCAUCCACCCAUAUCUGCAAUUUUGAUUUCUGUGGUUUUGGUUACUCAUGGUCAACUGUGAUUCAAAAAAGUAUUAAGUGGAAAAUUCCAGAAAUAAGCAAUUCAUAAAUUUCAAAUAAUUCAUUUUA
Cavia porcellus (domestic guinea pig) is the source of this 1171-nucleotide long non-coding RNA. RefSeq lists it as uncharacterized. The transcript is spliced from 2 exons. NCBI's taxonomy places the organism in Eukaryota, Metazoa, Chordata, Mammalia, Rodentia, Caviidae. The record is from RefSeq and is a predicted model, not a curated record.